GGGGCUGUAGCUCAGUUGCUAGAGUCCUUGCCUGGUACUCAUAUGGCCCUGGGUUUGAUUCCCAGCACCUCCU
RNAcentral lists this transfer RNA (73 nucleotides) under Neotoma lepida (desert woodrat). It matches the Rfam family "tRNA". From Rfam's summary of the family: Transfer RNA (tRNA) molecules are approximately 80 nucleotides in length. Lineage: Eukaryota; Metazoa; Chordata; Mammalia; Rodentia; Cricetidae. The record is from Rfam by way of RNAcentral.